This is a non-coding RNA of Xenia sp. Carnegie-2017, 71 nucleotides long. NCBI's taxonomy places the organism in Eukaryota, Metazoa, Cnidaria, Anthozoa, Malacalcyonacea, Xeniidae. The record is from the annotation of a RefSeq genome assembly.
GCAUUGGUGGUUCAGUGGUAGAAUUCUCGCCUGCCACGUGAGAGGCCCUGUUUCGAUUCCCGGCCAAUGCA